GAUAGGAAUAUUGGACAAUGGGCGAAAGCCUGAUCCAGCCAUGCCGCGUGAACGAUGAAGGCCUUCGGGUUGUAAAGUUCUUUAGCCGAUGAUUAUAAUGACUGUAGUCGGAAAAUAAGCCCCGGCUAACUUCGUGCCAGCAGCCGCGGUAAUACGAAGGGGGCGAGCGUUAUUCGGAAUCACUGGGCGUAAAGCGUGCGUAGGCGGUUUUGUAAGUUAGGAGUGAAAGCCCAGGGCUCAACCUUGGAAUUGCUCUUAAAACUGCAAGGCUCGAAUCUCGGAGAGGAUAGCGGAAUUUCCAGUGUAGCAGUGAAAUGCGUAGAUAUUGGAAGGAACACCAGUGGCGUAAGCGGCUAUCUGGACGAGUAUUGACGCUGAGGCACGAAAGCGUGGGGAUCAAACAGGAUUAGAAACCCGGGUAGUCC
Molecule: ribosomal RNA, 425 nt
Filed under: uncultured bacterium
Lineage: Bacteria
Description: partial 16S ribosomal RNA
Rfam family: Bacterial small subunit ribosomal RNA
Source: RNAcentral